UUUUUUUUUUUUUUUUUUUUUUGUCUUUUUGCUAUUUUUUGGACUGCUCCCGCAGCAUAUGGAGGUUCCCGGUCUAGGGGUCUAAUCGGAGCUGUAGCCACCGGCCUACGCCAGAGCCACAGCAAUGCGGGAUCCGAGCCUUGUCUGCGACCUACACCACAGCUCACGGCAACGCCAGAUCAUUAACCCAUUGAGCAAGGGCAGGGACCGAACCCGCAACCUCAUGGUUCCUAGUCGGAUUCAUUUACCACUGCGCCACUACGCAGUGUCUUGUAGUCUUAUUUAAUUUGCACUUUCUAAUGAUUAGCAAUGAUGAGCAUCUUUUAAAGUGCCUAUUGGCCAUUUGUAAGUCUCCUUUGGCAAAAUGUCUGUUUAAGCCUUCUGCCCAUUUUUUCCCCCUGUUAUUGAACUGUAUGAUCUAUUUAUAUAUUUUGGAAAUUAAGCUAUUGUUGGCACAAAAUUUGCAAAUAUUUUCUCCCAGUCUGUAGGUUGUCUUUUCAUUUUGUUUAUGGUUUCUUUUGCUGUGCAAAAGCUUAUGUUUGAUUAGGUCCCUUUUGUUUAUUUGUGCUUUUAUUUCCAUUGCCUUGGUAGACUGACCUAGCAAAACACUUGUAUGAUCUAGCUCAGAAAAUAAUUCUGCCUAUGUUCUCUUCUAGGAGUUUUAUGGGGUCAAGUUGUUAAGCCAUUCUGAGUUUAUUUUUGUGUAUGGUAUAUGGGGUGUUAUAAUUUUAUUGAUUUAUAUGUGGCUGUCCAACGUUCCUAAUACCACUUGCUGAGCAGAAUGUCAUUUCCCCAUUCUGUAUUCUUGCAUCCUUUGUUGAAGAUUAAUUGACCGUAGGUGUGUGGAUUUAUUUCUGGGGUCUCUGUUCUGUUGCAUUGACUUAUACGUCUGUUUUUGUGCCAAUACCACACUGUUUUGAUUACUAUAGCUUUGUAGUAUUGUAUGUAGUCUGGAAGGGUUAUGCUUCCUGCUUUAUUCUUUUUCUUCAGAAUUGCUCUGGCAAUUCUGGGUCUUUUAUGAUUCUAUAUAAAUUUUAGGAUUAUUUGUUUCUGUGAAAAAUGUUACAGUUAAUUUGAUAGGGAUUGCAUUAAAUCUGGUCACUUUGGCCAUUUUAACAAUAUUAAUUCUUCUAAUCUGAGAGCUUGGUAUAUCAUUCCAUGAAAUAUCCAAACUUUUUGCCAAUUACAUUGUAACUAAAUAUUUACCCAUGCCAUUUUAAAGUUUUGUCCUAUUUAGACAAUUACUGUUUUAUACUGAUGUGUUUACAAAAUGAAGAUCUUGAAGACUCUUAAAAGGGACUUUUUAACAAGUACAAGUUUCUGAUCAUCUUUAGAUAUUACCACUGAACUAGGUAACAAAUUACAAAAAUUUAAUGAAAAAUCUGAUAGGAGUUCACAUCAUGGCUCAAGGGUUAAUGAAUCUGACUAGUAUCCAUGAGGAUGCAGGUUCAAUCCCUGGCCUUGCUCAGUAGGUUAAGGAUCUGUGUUGCCAUGGGCUGUGAUGUAGGUUGCAGACACUGCUUGGAUCCCACGUUUCUGUGGCACAGGCUGGUAGCUACAGCUCUGAUUCAACUCCUAGCCAGGGAACCUCCAUAUGCCAUGAGUGUGGCCCUAAAAAAGACAAAAAGGGAAAAAAGAAAAUCUGGUAACUUCAUCCAGAUCAACAAGAAUUACAUAAAACUGGAUUAACUGAUAAAUAUGAUUUGUAACUUUGUGACUUUUUGAGAAAUAUACUGGUUUUAAGUUUGUUAUCCAGAAAAAUCUUCCCUCUUAUGCCAUGACCUACAAUAACUUGAUAAAGUAGAAGUUUGUAAACAAAGAUAAAACAUUUCUAUUUCUUUAUAUAUGAUUUUUUCAAAAUUUAGCUUCUCCAGUUGGCUGUCCUGCAGACUUGAUGGUUUAUUGUAACAGGACUGAAAACUAGUCAUGCUAAUCAUUGUUUAGAUUUGUUCUUUGUUUCCAAAUUGCUUAUUCUUUAUGUGUCCCUGCUACACUGAGUUCGUCAAUAUUACUAGUUGUGUUAUUUAUAUCCUGUCUAUUUUAUAAGACUAUCGCUUCUUAAGAGUACCCAAUGUAUAACUAGGCCUCCAACAAAAUUGAUGGUGACACACUUUUGUAGUAAAUGUGAUCCUGAGGAACUGGAAUUUGUAAAUGUGAUCUUGAGGAACUAGAUCACAUUUACAACUUGACAUAGAAUAAUUGUAAUAGUGUAAUUCUAGAUGUGGGAAGAAGCAUGAAGGGAAAAUAUUUCCUGGAUUAUAAUAGACUAGUAGGAAAAGUGAUCCAAAGCAACAGGGCAUUAUUCAAUGCUGGCACCUUGAGUGGCUAUCAACAAAAUCUUUACCUGAUCUAGGAAUAAAUUCCCAGCAGCAUGGGAUAAAAUUUGAUGAUAAAAAGUCUCCCAAAACUUGGUUGAAUUUAAUAACCAAGGGGAAGCACUGAAGGAGAAAUGUGUGCCUGCUGUAUCAGCAAACAAAGGCUGUUGCAGCCAUUAGACCACCACAUUAGGGCAGUGCCCAUGGAGAGCCCUGAGGGAACUUGGUAUGGACAUAGGAUGCAGGUCAUCAAGCAGUCAGCUGGGACAGCCAUCCCUUACAGUGCACCCCGAGGAGACUCAGGACUAGAAAUCUCAGGAUACCAGCCCAGAAAGCUGAAGUGUAUAUUAAACAAUUUCAAUGAGUUCAGACUUGGCAUCUUCCCACACAUAGAAAAGCACCAAUUUUAUUGAGAUGUCUGGUUUUCUUUGACAAUCAUCUUUUGAUGUUCUGACUAUCUGGUCUUUGUUACAAAAACUUAUAUAUCCUGGCUUACUGAGCUUGCCACUUUGGAGCAAUCCUUAGAGCUAUGUGAGAGUCUUGUCUCUGGGCUUGAAGUCCUGAGAAAGUCUGCCAGAUAAAACGUAAUUUUCUACUUCUAGGCUGUGCAUUUUUUUUCAGUCAACAAUGGUCUAGUAUAGGAUAUUGAAUCUAGUUCUCUGUGGUAUUCAUUACAACCUAGUUUUUUAUCCAGUCUAUAUGUAAUUGGCCUCUCCUAACCCCAAACUCCCAAUCCAUCCCUUUCUAACCUCUCCUCCACUCUUGCAAACCACAGUCUAUUCUUUAGGUCUGUGAGUCUGUUUCUGUUUAGAUAGGCUCAUAGAUAGGUUCACUUGUGUCAUAUUUUAGGUUCCACAUGUUAAUCGUAUCCUAUACUGUUUUCCUUUGACUUUCUGACUUACUUCACUUAAUAUGAUAAUCUCUAAAUCCAUCCAGAUUACUUCAAAUGGCAUGAUUUUAUUCUUUUUUAUGGCUGAGCAGUAUUCCAUACACACACACACAACAUCAUUAUCCAUUCAUCUGUCCAUCUACAUUUAGAUUGCCUACAUGUUUUGGCUGUUAUAAAUACUGCUGCUAUGAACAUUGGGGUGCAUGUAUCUUUUAAAAUUAUAGUUUUGUCCAGAUAAUGUACCAAGGAAUGGGCUUUCCAAAUCCUAUGGUAGUUCUCAUUUUAGUUUUCUGAGGACCCUCCAUACUGUGUUCCAUAGUGGUUGUACCAUUUUACAUUUCUAUCAGCAGUGUAAAGAGUGUUCUCUUUUCUCCACACCCUAUCAGCAUUUAUUGCACCUUUCUUUUUUAGGGCCACACUUGCGGCAUAUUAAAGUUCCCAGGCUAGGGGUUGAAUCGGAGCUGCAGCUGCCAGUCUACAGCGGUGUCUGUGAUGUACGCCACAGCUCACGGCAACACCGGAUCACUUAACCCACUGAGCAAGGCCAGGGAUCGAACCUGCAUUUUCAUGGUUACUAGUCAGGUUCCUUACCACUGAGCCAUGAUGGGAACACCAUUUGUAGACUUUUUAAUGAUGGGGAUCACUGAGGGCAUUCUUGAAAACUGGCUUUUUAACAUUUAAACAAGCUUUUUAACAUUAUUCUUGUUAUUUUUAGGGCUGCACCUAUGGCACAUGCAAGUUCCCAAGCUAGGGGUUGAAUCAGAGCUACAGCUGCUAGCCUAUGCCACAGGCUAUGAGCCAUGUCUAUGACCUACACCACAGUUCACGGCAACGCUGGCUCCCUGACCCACUGAGCAAGGCCAAGGGUCAAACCUGCAUCCUCAUGGAUACUAGUUGGAUUCCUUUCAGCUGCGCCACAACAGGAACUCCAAUUUUUAACAUUAUUUUGAAACCAGUUUUGAUUUUAUAAAUCCUCUGAUAUUAGAGACUCGGAGAGGUCCAUGAAUCAUACUUUGAGAUCUGCUGCCCUGAUAAUAUAAGCUCUCAUCAGGCUACAUGAUUUGUGCUCUUUUGAAGAUGAUUCUCACAUCUACCUCUUUUGCAAUUUCAACUAAGUUUGUUAGAAGUCAAUUUAAAAACAAGUAAGCCAUAUUUAAAAUUUCUUAUAUAUUUUCAAUUUGAACCACAUUCUUGGCUAAUUCAUUCCACAUAUUACCUGUUAAUUAAGUCCUAUCUUCUUUCAUUUUUCAUAAUAGGUCUUAGACAAGGGUUCCUGAGACAGGCUUGACUACAUGCUCAUACACCAGCAUACAACUCAUCCCAACACUGACUUGUGAGACCCCAGUCUUUGUUCCCUUUGAGAAGAAUCCUACUAUUUUUAGCAUUUGAUACAGCUGAGCUUUGUCCCCUUGGUCACCUCAGCCCCCUCCUCUGGAUGGAUACCCUACACUGUGUCCUUGUCAAGACCUUGGCUAGCAGAGCUCAGCACAUAGAGCCAGCAGUCAGCUACACUGAGGUUUGUGCUGGAAUAGGAAAACGGUGUUCCAUUUUCCACUGUUUGACACAAGUAACAGUCCAAGUCUGAUUUUGUUUUGGUUUUUAAGGCUGUACCUGUGGCAUAUGGAGGUUUCUGGAGCUAGGGGUCAAACUGGAGUUGUAGCUGCAGGCCUACACCGCAGCCCCAGCAAUCUGAGUUGCAUCUGUGAACUCCAUCUCAGCUUGUGGCAAUACCAGAUCCUCAACCCACUGAACAAAGCCAGGGAUAGAAUUUGCAUCCUCUUGGAUACUACGUUGGGUUCUUAACCCACUGAGCCACAAUGGGAACUCCUCCACGUCCAGUUGGGACCACCGAGUGAUCUGUUUGGCUGCUACUUCCCUCCUUAUAGCAGGAUACCUGCUCCUCUGGACUCUUCUUAUUCCUAUUCCUUGAUGUUCUGGAAGGCUUGCAACCAUUUUCAGCACCUUAAACCAGAGGAGGGAUAAAUAUCUAAGUUGAGUUCACCUUUGUCUAGAAUGUAAAGCCCUUCCCCUCGUCUAGAGUCAGAACUGGAAGAAUGAGGCUGGAGCUGCCUGCAGCUACGGUUGCUAGAACCACAUUCAGGAGGUGAAAAAGUAGCCAAACAAGACCUACAGAGCCAAGAAUAAGACAGGUAGAUUGAGUCUCUGGUUUCACUCCUGCCUGAGGCUAGUUCCAGCUCCUUUUCUUCCCCAUGAUUGGACUCAAAGCUGGCAAAUUUGUCAAAUUUCUAUCACUUUAUCCUAUCACUGAGACAAUUGACUCUCUGGGCCAAACUAUAUCGUGAGGAACCUGCUUCCUGAAGGAGCACGUGUGGCAAGAAAAUAACAGGGCUGAGAUGCAAUGAAGAUCUAGAGAGAAGAUUGAGAAGCUUGCUGGUAUCAAAAAGGCAGGUGAACCAAGGAAGUAGACAGUUGGGUGGUGGGAAACAGACACUCUGAGGGUUUUGGUGGAAGAAUGAACUGGUGAGAUUCGGAGGAAGGUAAUUUGGCUACAUUUCAUAGAUAACUGAAAUGUCUCCAUUCCUUGAGCCAGUAAUUUUACUCAAUGCUGCAUUGUUUUGUUGUGGUAAAAAGCUGGGAAUAUCCUCAAAACUGUUGGCACCAUGAAUGGAGGAGUGAUUAAGUAAAUCAUGGAAACAUGUCCAAGUUCUACUAACAGUAAAAAAGGGUGUAAAGUCAUGUAAAGAAUUUGUUUAUAGGUGUGUUUUGUAUGUGCAAAGCAAAAAGUGUGGAGAAUCAUGCAUUGCGUAGUUAGGGGAUCUCUCUGGGAAGGUGACCGUAAUUACAGAAGACUUUGUAUGUGUGAGCCCAGAAUAUUGGGAAAGAUUAAUGUCUGUUUUCUUUCUGUUUCUAUAAGAAAGUGGCAUGAGGAUGAGUCAGUUCUUUCACAGUUAGUGUUAGUAUUCUGAGUUCUAGGGUCUCUGUCCAGGAGGGUUUAUUCAUUUAUUCAUUCACUCAUUUAUUUGAUCAGCCAAGGAUUGAGGACCAAGUGCCAACUAGUUAGGCAUGCUUCUCAGUGCUGGGUAUGAAGUAGCAAAACAGAAUUAUUACCCUUAUGGAUUUUAUGAUUGAUUGUGAAAACAAAUAUCAGAUGUGUGGAGAACAGAGGAAGAGCAUGGGGACAGGCUGCUGGGUGGGGACAGUAGGGUCCUAUGAUAUAGAAAGUGGACAGAGAAAGCCUCCCUGAGGAGGCAACAGAGGACCUGAAAGAAGCAAGGAAGCCAUGAAGCUCUGGAGGACAGAGGGGUCCUCCAGGCCCAGGGACAGUGUACAUAAGACCCUAAAGGUGAAGUGAGCUUGAUGAUUUGAGGCCAGAAGGACUGUGUGGCUGGAAGGAAGAAUGAGAAGUGAAGUGAGAGGAGAGGGAGGGGGCAGAGCAUUGUGCUCUGGACUUGAGGCCAUUGCACCAUCCCAAGAGCAGUCUGAGAGGACAGGCCACUAGAGGCUUUGGGUCAACUUUCAAAUGAUCACUCUGGUUGCUGUGUUGAGAUGAGGGUAGAGGGGGCAAGGAAUGGAGGCAGGGAGAAGAUGAGUUAGAAAUGAUUGCCAGG
Molecule: long non-coding RNA, 6773 nt
Filed under: Sus scrofa (pig)
Lineage: Eukaryota; Metazoa; Chordata; Mammalia; Artiodactyla; Suidae
Description: lncRNA (ENSSSCG00045005474.1)
Source: RNAcentral